Long non-coding RNA from Peromyscus eremicus (cactus mouse), 504 nucleotides. RefSeq lists it as uncharacterized. The transcript has 3 exons. Lineage: Eukaryota; Metazoa; Chordata; Mammalia; Rodentia; Cricetidae. The record is from RefSeq and is a predicted model, not a curated record.
ACAGGAAUUCUUAUGCAGAGAAAAGAUAAUGUCUUAGAAUGGAUAUUUUUUACCACACAAAAAGUGGAAUGAAGGCAUCCAGCUAAGGAACCUGAAGAUGACUGGCCAAAUGAGACUUCUAAAGAAGAAGGACAAAUCAUCCAGAGAAAAUGCCCCAAGAAAAAGAACAAAUUGUGAACUGUGACUAUUCCUAACGGCAACCUUUGAAGUCUCCAAAAGGAUGUUGGGGCCCCACAACAAUGAAUUCACCUGGAUUGUGGUAAUGCCACUAAGCUGACAAACACCACCCAAAGAUCAUCAGCUUUGGACUACAAACUUCUUAGGACAGUUAGAUAAGAUGGUCCAGCCUCAUAGACUACUUCAGUCAGGACUUUAUAUAAUCCUUGCACUCUCCCAUUACAUCAAGACGGGGCAACAGGUAGCUCUCCCAAAACUUUCAAUCUUUAUCUCAAUUUUUUUCAGGGUCUCAUAAAGAUGCUGUUGCCCCUAGACAACAGAAAACAA